Molecule: ribosomal RNA, 158 nt
Filed under: Biatoropsis usnearum
Lineage: Eukaryota; Fungi; Basidiomycota; Tremellomycetes; Tremellales; Tremellaceae
Description: 5.8S ribosomal RNA
Rfam family: 5.8S ribosomal RNA
About the family: 5.8S ribosomal RNA (5.8S rRNA) is a component of the large subunit of the eukaryotic ribosome. It is transcribed by RNA polymerase I as part of the 45S precursor that also contains 18S and 28S rRNA.
Source: RNAcentral
AAAACUUUCAACAACGGAUCUCUUGGCUCUUGCAUCGAUGAAGAACGCAGCGAAAUGCGAUAAGUAAUGUGAAUUGCAGAAUUCAGUGAAUCAUCGAAUCUUUGAACGCACCUUGCGCCCUUUGGUAUUCCGAAGGGCAUGCCUGUUUGAGUGUCAUG